This 133-nucleotide small RNA is filed under the name Klebsiella pneumoniae. RNAcentral describes it as "partial RtT sRNA". It matches the Rfam family "RtT RNA", at positions 33 to 130 of the family's 130-position model. From Rfam's summary of the family: This family represents a bacterial cis-regulatory element known as RtT RNA. The exact function of RtT is unknown although it is thought that it may be involved in changing the cellular response in relation to amino acid starvation. RNAcentral also lists the same sequence under 1 other name. Lineage: Bacteria; Pseudomonadati; Pseudomonadota; Gammaproteobacteria; Enterobacterales; Enterobacteriaceae. The record is from RNAcentral.
UGGUCGCAGGUUCGAAUCCUGCACGACCCACCAAUUUCAGCAUUUAACUCAGAUGUUGAACGUGAAGGAUAACGUUGCGUCAGCAACGGCCCGAAGGGCGAGGCGAAGCCGAGUCAUCCUGCACGACCCACCA